AGCGAACGCUGGCGGCAGGCUUAACACAUGCAAGUCGAGCGGGCACUUUCGGGUGUCAGCGGCGGACGGGUGAGUAACGCGUGGGAACGUGCCCUCUGGUUCGGAAUAACUCAGGGAAACUUGAGCUAAUACCGGAUACGCCCUUUUGGGGAAAGGCUUGCUGCCGGAGGAUCGGCCCGCGUCUGAUUAGCUAGUUGGUGAGGUAACGGCUCACCAAGGCGACGAUCCGUAGCUGGUCUGAGAGGAUGAUCAGCCACACUGGGACUGAGACACGGCCCAGACUCCUACGGGAGGCAGCAGUGGGGAAUAUUGGACAAUGGGCGCAAGCCUGAUCCAGCCAUGCCGCGUGAGUGAUGAAGGCCUUAGGGUUGUAAAGCUCUUUUAUCCGGGACGAUAAUGACGGUACCGGAGGAAUAAGCCCCGGCUAACUUCGUG
Molecule: ribosomal RNA, 435 nt
Filed under: uncultured bacterium
Lineage: Bacteria
Description: partial 16S ribosomal RNA
Rfam family: Bacterial small subunit ribosomal RNA
Source: RNAcentral